GAUGAACGCUAGCGGCAGGCCUAACACAUGCAAGUCGAGGGAGAGGUUACCUUCGGGUAACCAAAACCGGCGCACGGGUGCGUAACGCGUAUACAAUCUGCCUUUCACAUAGGGAUAGCCCGAAGAAAUUUGGAUUAAUACCUAAUGGUAUAUAAGAGCGGCAUCGUUUUUAUAUUAAAGCUACGGUGGUGAAAGAUGAGUAUGCGUUCUAUUAGCUAGUUGGAGAGGUAACGGCUCCCCAAGGCGACGAUAGAUAGGGGUUCUGAGAGGGAUGUCCCCCACACUGGUACUGAGAUACGGACCAGACUCCUACGGGAGGCAGCAGUGAGGAAUAUUGGACAAUGGUCGGAAGACUGAUCCAGCCAUGCCGCGUGCAGGAUGAAGGUCCUAUGGAUUGCAAACUGCUUUUGUAAGGGAAGAAUAAGGAGUACGUGUACUUUGAUGACGGUACCUUACGAAUAAGCAUCGGCUAACUCCGUG
Molecule: ribosomal RNA, 480 nt
Filed under: uncultured bacterium
Lineage: Bacteria
Description: partial 16S ribosomal RNA
Rfam family: Bacterial small subunit ribosomal RNA
Source: RNAcentral